This 72-nucleotide transfer RNA is filed under the name Candidatus Beckwithbacteria bacterium. Its description in RNAcentral is "tRNA-Glu". It matches the Rfam family "tRNA". From Rfam's summary of the family: Transfer RNA (tRNA) molecules are approximately 80 nucleotides in length. Lineage: Bacteria; Candidatus Beckwithiibacteriota. The record is from RNAcentral.
GGCCCCUUCGUCUAUCGGUUAGGACAUGAGGUUUUCAUCCUCAAAAGGCGGGUUCGAUUCCCGCAGGGGUCA